UCCAAUAUUUUGUUAGGAUUUGUAGAGCUCUCUACUACACAAAUAUGCAAAGCAACCAAAACUAUUUUGGUGGGUAACAAAAGCACAAGUCAAUAACAAAACCAACAAUACCAUUCAUUUAUUUAUCUAUAAAAAAAUCCCUAGCUGCCACCAAUGAUAGAGAGAAAACAAAAACCCUUAACCUUGGCUAGGCUAGUGAGAACAUAGAAACUCUAGCAUUGUAUACUUGCAAUUUGCAAACACUGUUUUCAUUUACUAAAAUAUGUUAAUUUCAACAUAUUAACAAAACUUGAAACUUUGCCUCUAAAAUAGAAGACUAAAUUUCCCAAAUUUUAGUUAGGUGUAAGGUUUUUAACUAAGGGUAGGCAAAUGCCUUAUCAAUUGAAAACUAAAUUUCCCAAAUUUUAGUUAGGUGUCAGGUUUUUAACUAAGGGUAGGCA
Molecule: long non-coding RNA, 440 nt
Filed under: Trifolium pratense (red clover)
Lineage: Eukaryota; Viridiplantae; Streptophyta; Magnoliopsida; Fabales; Fabaceae
Description: long non-coding RNA (TPRA_LNC000330)
Source: RNAcentral